GUUACUCAAACUACAUGGGUUGCUUGUACAGUAGUUAAUAGAAGACAAACAACAACAACUUGCAGUUCAAAAGAAUUCAUUGUUAUAUAUUUGUCCCUUCUUUAUACACAAUUCUGGACACAAAUCAAAAACCCCAUAUAAUCAGGAGGAAAGGAACAAAAACAAAAACGAACAAUAAUAAACAAAAAAAAAAAAAUAAUAAUAAUGAUAAUGUAUAGAAAAACAACAAUUGUAAACGACAAGGUUUUUCAUACAGGCAUAAUUAAAUGAACUUAGACAUCCCAGUAAACAAGAUCAGCAGAUCGAGGCUUUCUCCUCCAAACAAAAACACUCAUCAGCGGUCCAGCGAGAAAAAAAAACAAAAACAAAAAAACACAGGAUUAGUAUAUAUUUUUUUCUCUUGAACCACCAAAGUCAUAGAUAUACUGAAAGGGAAAUUAAAUGAAAGUCAGUAAUAUAAAUACAUCGGUCACUCAAAGCGACCCGCGAAUGGGUGGAGGAAGUGCGUGCGAUGAAGUGCGUUAGUGUGUGUGUGCGUGUGUGUGCAAUAUCGCUGACCAUGUCUGGCAGGGAAAAGAUCCUUGGGAGGCAGCGUUUUCUCCGGAUUAGCAAAACCCAACGGAAUGGCGAUCUUCUGGAGCUCCGCAGGGGACAUGCCAGUGCUUUCUUGAACGGCUGAGUUAAGAGCAAAACGAAGCUCAGUUCUUUGAAUAUGGAAGAGACAAACUGAGUUCCCCGGUCAGACAAGAUGAAGUCCGGUACUCCAUAUCGGGUGAGGAUUUCCGUUCGGAGAAUCGUUGCUAUGGUGCUCGCAAUUGCAGUGCGCAUUGGAAAGAGCUCAACCCAUCGAGAGAAAUAAUCCACAAAAACUAGAAGGUAUUCAUGUCUGCGAGUACUACUUGGCAAAGGUCCCAUUAUGUCCACUCCUACCAUCUUGUUGGGUUGCGACACUGUAAUUGGUUGUAGUUUGCCAGCUGGUUUCUGAUUUUCAUAUUUAAGCUUUUGACAUUUUUCACAACACUUGACAUGGUGUUUUACAUCGGUCCACAUUCCAGGCCAAAAAACAACAUGAUGCAAUCGUUUGUAGGUCUUGAAUAUGCCACCAUGACCGCUUAGAGGAUUGGA
This is a long non-coding RNA of Carassius auratus (goldfish), 1125 nucleotides long. RefSeq lists it as uncharacterized. The transcript is spliced from 3 exons. NCBI's taxonomy places the organism in Eukaryota, Metazoa, Chordata, Actinopteri, Cypriniformes, Cyprinidae. The record is from RefSeq and is a predicted model, not a curated record.